CAUCAAGCUCCUUCUUUUUCCUUCUCUUCUUUUCACCAAUCAUCUUGAGGCUUCCUUCUCCGCCAGUCAGUUCGUCGUUGACAGGUGCAUGAAUUCCAGCCAUCACCAUCAAGUCUUCAUCUCCCCUGUUCGGACGUCGGGUUCCUCUUUCCUCUUCGAGCAACAACAAUAAUCUGGUGCGCAACCUUUCUGGUGUGAAUGUUUGGUGCUUCAGACUUUUCCCUCCCUUGUUUCGAUGUCGACUGCCUCUCUUCUCCUUCCUCAUAUUCACGCGGUGACACUUUCUUCUCCAUAUGGUUCUGAAUCCGCUGAUCUAUGUGUUGGAGCUUUAAGCUCUGCCUUUCAUUUGUUUCAACUGAUCGGGAGCUAGCUUAUCAAACAAAAUCAAGGGAAACAACUUGAGCUUAAAAUACUAAUCCUAAUUUGCAGGUCUCAUCUAUUUUGAGAAGUGUCUAAUUUAUCAUGAUGUUGCUAACUAGGAGAUUUCAUAUUUUUACUUGCUUGCCCUAUGUGAUUCUUGAACAAAUUGGUGUAUUUUAGGCCCUAGUUGGUAUGUGUAUUAAAUUGUAAAAUCUAGAAAGGGUUAAAAUACUAACGCAAGUGAGGACAGGGUAAUUAUGUGAUUGAUGAUGAAUUAUAUGAUGUUCUAUGCAAUUGAAACCCCUUUACUGUUUUUGUUAUUAAAGGGUUGAGCAUUGAAAAUA
Long non-coding RNA from Prosopis cineraria, 704 nucleotides. RefSeq lists it as uncharacterized. NCBI's taxonomy places the organism in Eukaryota, Viridiplantae, Streptophyta, Magnoliopsida, Fabales, Fabaceae. The transcript is spliced from 2 exons. The record is from RefSeq and is a predicted model, not a curated record.